GAGAGAGAGAGAGAUUGAGAGAGAUUGAGAGAGAUUGAGAGAGAUUGAGAGAGAUUUGGAACACCAUAGCCCACCCCCCAGUGACACACUUCCUCCAACGAGGCCACACCUCCUAAUCCCUGUCAAGCAUCACCACUCCAAGCGUUUAAUCUAUGAGCCUAUGGGGGCCAUUCCUAUUCAAACCACUUAGCUUCUGAACCAGGUGUUGGGGGGAUCUCAGUAAGUGGAUCAGAAAUUGAGCUCUUGCUUCCCUUUUUGAUUUGGAGCUUGCUGAAGUCAGAAGGGCUCGCUUAUCUUACCGGCCACCCGUCAGGAGCCAUGUAGAGAAAGUUGGAAAAUGCUUUUGCUUUUAAGGACGAAGUGGAAUUUGUUAAUUGAGGUUAUUUUGCCCAGGCAUCUAACAACAGCUUCUGUGGCCAGUUGUGAACCACUGAUAGCCCAGAUAAGGCUUGGACCAGAAACACGGACCUGUCAUCAAGGGAUGCUUACUACAUGAUUUUAUACGUGAGACGUCCUUCGUGUGGCCAGUGAGGUUCAGGGACCGCAAGAAACCGCAGUCCCUAAGAUGAGAACGGCGUGGUAGUUCUUCUGCUGGGGGCAAUUUUCUCAGUGGGGUCCUGGCACGGGCUCCCUCUUCAUGGUGACUCCUUUCCUACAGUUGGCAUUUGGAUGGGUGGAGCUGUAGGAACUAACGCUCCCUGAGUUCUUCCUGACCAAGCACAGGCAUUGUAAUUUGGAACUCUCAGUUGUCUUUUUCAGACACAUCUGUCAUUACGUCCUCACACCUAGUUCAACAUGUUUAUGGAGCAGAUAUUUACAUUUUGGAUGAAUCGAUGCGGGCUCUCAAGGAAAGGCCCUUUUGUGAUUAUUUGAGUCUUGAGCCAGCUGGCUGCUUCCUUUCCGCCCCUGUGCCCUCCCCUGUAAAGUGACACAUUUCUUAGAAAGAAUGACUGACAGACGGGCUCUGGGAUUCAGACUUAAAUAUUGGGCAGGCAUGUUCUGAAAAAUGAGAACCCUCAAUGUGACCCUUCAAGGGAAACAAUGACAGUGUUUAUGGUGCAUGAUAAGAUUUGUGCCUUUAUGUGAGAGUUUGAAUUUUGGAAAGUUUGCCUCAGCGCCACCGUGGGUCUGGCAGCUUCACAAUGCUUCAAGGCGUUGCUGGCGGGAGCCACAGUGAUGGGAAUAGCUGUAGUUUUUUGACAUUGUACAAUGGAGGUGUCAGCACUUCAAAGAUUUGCUGGGAUUGACCAAAAGACCAGUACGUGGUGUGACAGAAUUCAAAUUGCACAAAAGACUAACGGAAUUUGAUGUAAUAGUUUUAGAUUCCUCGUUGCAGCUAAGCAAUUGUUGAGGUUUGGCCAUCUCAAAUGCUAUUAAAAUCCACCUGCCUUUUUCCUUACAUGUCUUUGGGAGAUAGAAUUUUCUUGGGGCACUUAGACCAAAGUGCAUUUGUUAAUGUAUUUAAUAAGCACAUUGAUUUGAGAGUCACUCUUUCUCCCUACUUAGUUAGACUUGGGGAUCCAUCCUAUAUGCAGCCACCAAACCCAGUCACUGUUGCUGAUGCCAAGAAGUGCUUGCUGACAAGAGUAUGAUAUGGGUGUCUCCUGAGAGGCUCUGCCAGAGUCUUACUGAUACAGAUGAGGAUGCUUGCAUCUAACCAUCAGAUUGAGCAUGAGGACCCCAAUGGAGGAGUUAGAGAAAGGACUGAAGGAGCUGAGGGGGUUUGCAACCCCAUAGGAAGAACAACAAUACCAGCCAACCAGAUCCUCCAGAGCUCCCAGGGACUAAACCACCAACUAAAGUGUACACUUGGAGGGACCCAUGGCUCCAGCUGCAUAUGUAGCAUAGGAUGGCAUUAUCCAGCAUUAAUAAGAGGGAAAGCCCUUGGUCCUGUGAAGUCUUGAUUCCCCAGUGAAGGGGAAUGCCAGGGUGGUGAGGUGGGAAUGAGUGGGCGAGAGUGGGAGCAUCCUUAUAGAAGCAGAGGGAGGGGGAUGGGAGAGGGGGGAACCAGGAAAGGGGAUAACAUUUGAAAUGUAAAUACACAAAAUAUCCAAUAAAAAAAGAAGUGGAAAAAAAAAAGCAAAAUAGGAUCACAAAGCAGAAAACAGUGUUAUUUUUCCACUGGUUCUCUUGUUUGGAUAAAUACAUUUUUUAUAAAGAUAACACAUUAUUUUAUUAUGUAAUAUGUAUUAGUAAUUUUUAAAGAAUUCAUAGAUAUUAAGGAAAGAAUUAUUACCUUUAGUUGGUUAUAUGGUAAAUAGGUACACAUGUCAUCCACAUAAGUAGAGAUCUGAGGGGGUCCUUGAGAAUUUGCUAAGAAUACGUCAGAGGCUUCUAAGAGGAGAGAGCUGGCGAAGAGUCAGGAACGAAACCACACGAACUGCUGUCUUUCUGCUGAGCCAGUUUUCACUGAUGACACUUCAGAGUCUAACAGGUUUACACUUUCCCGCGGCUAUGGUAGCUGCACUGCAUGCAGAAGGUCCUCUGUAAGCAUGAACAGAUCUUACGUGCUCUUCAGCAGUGUUAUGGCAUGAUUCAUGUGGCAAGAGUGGACUCUAAAUACACGAGUGUGGUUCACCAGCUUAGCAGAUGUGCUUUUUAUAGGUAGAUAGACAGAUAAACAGAUAGACAGAUAGACAAGUAAAUAAUUUGUGGGGACUGUCUUAGCCGGUGGAUCCACCCACCCCACAUACCUUCCCUUCAACUUCAACUCCUCUUCGACCUUCCACCAACACAUACCCCUUCCAACAACAAAUUUUUCUCCUUCCUCUUCCUCUUUCUUCCUCUUCCUCCUUCUUCUUGCUUGAUUUGGUUUGCUUGAUCUGGUUAUUUUACAAGUUACAUAUUUCUUAAAAUUUAUUUUUCUUGGAUAUAUUAUGUAUUUAAAUUUCAAAUGCUAUCUCCCUUUCCCUCAUCCCAUCCCCUCCCCCUCCCCCUGCUUCUGUGAGGAUGCUCUCAUUCCCACUCACCCACUCCAACAUCAACGCCCUGGCAUUACCCUGCAUUGGUGAAACAAACCUUCACAGGCCCAAGGACAAUUCCUCCUACUGAUGUUGGACAACACCAUCCUCUGCCAUAUAAGUGACUGGAGUCACGAGUCCCUCCAUAUCUAUUCAUUGGUUGGUGUUUUAGUCCCUGGGAGCUCUGGUGGGUUCUGGUUAGUUGAUAUUGUUUAUGAGGUUGUAAACCUCUUCAGCUCCUUCAGUCUUUUCUCUAACUCCUUCACUGGGGUCCCCUUGUUCAAUUCAAUGGUUAGCUGCAACCAUCCUCAUCUAUAUCAGUAGAGCUCUGGCAGAGCCUCUCGGGAGACAACCAUAACUGGCUCCUGUCAGCAGGCACUUCUUGACAUCAGCAAUAGUGACUGGGUUUGGUGGCUGCCUAUGGGAUGGAUUCCCAGAUGCAGCAGUCUCUGGAUGACCUUUUCUUCAGUCCCUGCUCCACUCUUUUUUCCUGUAUUUCCUCCUGUGAGUAUUUUGUUCUCCUUCCUAAGAAGGAAGGACACAUCCACAUUUUGGUCUUCCUUCUUCUUGAGCUUCACAUAAUCUGUGAAUUUUUUUCUUAGGUGUGAGGAGCUGUCCUCACAGAUGUGAGGAGCUGUCCGAGGAGCUGUCCUCACAAACUCCAUUACAAGAUGGCACCGGCAUCCGGCAGAACGCACCUAGUAAAAAGGGCAAUACGCAGGCGCCUGGUAACUUCCCUACUCAAAGGGACACGUACGUUUUGGUACGUCAUCUGGCAUAAUUGGCAGCGACCAGUCAGAGAGUGACAUGUCCUAGACGAGGAUAGUUUCCUAUAUAAGGGACGGUUAUUCCUCACUCAGCGUCUCCGCAUUGUAAGCUUAUGCUCUCCCUCUCAAGACGCAGUAAAGCUUUUCUGUAGUAGGAUCCUGUGUGUGCCGCGUCGUUCCUGCUGGCGAGACGUAGCGCGGGACAUCUGGUGCCGAAAACCCGGGAAAGACCUCGCCAUCGUCAGCACCUUCGGAGAUCCCUUGGUGACAAGGAGGAUUCAGAACUGCAGGUAGAUACGUUCGGAGAGGCAGCCCUCUCUUGGACUUUGGUCUGGGGUUGUCACCGCCUUGGGAAGGAUUUGUUGAGGCUAUAGUAUUUGUCCUGGGAGCCACCCUACUCUUUAUGUUAUGUUUUCACCGUUUUCGCUGUUAAAAGGACGAUCACAGCAGCUGAAGGCGCGUCUCAGUCUCUCGUAUAUAAGUGAGCUUCACGCAGUUCCCUUUUACCUUCGAUUUUGACUGUUGAGGAACAAGGACGCGAUAAGGCCGACGUAGAUAAGCGGCACCGUCCGGGGAGGCGCGUGUAAGACUCCCAUACAUAAGAGAGCAGCGUGUCCGUCUCUACCCUUUCACCUCACGCCUUGUCAGACGGACGUAGAUAAGCCGCCGGCGUUCCUGGCCCAUCAUGGGAUCCUCACAGUCUGUGGUCACAGCCUUGGAAACAGUGUUAAAGCAGAGGGACAUCAAAAUUGGAGGAGGAACACUUAAAAACUUUGUGAAGGAGGUGGAGAGGGUGGUGCCUUGGUUUGCCUGUUCAGGCUCGUUUACGAUUGCCUCAUGGAACAAACUUGGAAAGACCUUGACAGAAAAUUGGCGGAAGAGGAUCUGCGCCUAGGGACCAAAGCUAUAUGGAAGCUGGUUAAGAAUUGUUUAAAGGAUGAAAUGUGUAAGGCAGCAGUAGUAGAAGGACAGGCCACUCUCAAGGUAGUCCGGGAAAGUCUGUCAGAAACCGAACGUAGUGAGAGGUUGGGCGCGCGCAAGAAAAAAGACGUCCUAAGAAAGAAAAAGUGCCCUCCCGGUAAGUCCGCAGACAAGGGAGCGUUGAAAGUUUCAGAUUCCAGCACUUCCUCCUCUACACAUAAACCAGGAGGGGGAUCCAGCCUAUACCCUGUGAAAGAGCUAGAAGCGCUGAACCUCGACAGUUCUGAAAGCUCUGAAAAUAAAACCUUAGACUCAGGGGAGGAGGCCGAGCUAGUGCUGUUAGUAUUCUUGAAACCGCCGGUAUAAUUAAAACCACUAGUAAGGUGGCAGAUAUUUUCCGAAAAAUCCAAAUUAUCCUAUUAAAUAGAAGAUUCCCUGUAUACAUUACUCAUAUACGGGCCCACUCUGGACUCCUUGGCCCAAUGAGUUCAGAGAAUGAUUUGGCUGACAAAGCCACAAAAAUGAUAGCUGUGGCCCUGGCCUCUCCUUUAGAGGCCGCUAAAGUCUUUCAUGGCAAUUUCCAUGUCACCUCAGAAACUUUACGCCGCCGCUUCUCUAUAACUAGAAAAGAGGCACGUGAUAUAGUCACCCAAUGCCAACAGUGCUGCCAGUUCCUCCCAGUUCCUCACAUCGGGGUCAACCCGAGAGGAAUACAGCCAUUGCAAAUCUGGCAAAUGGAUGUUACUCAUAAUUCUACUUUUGGAAAAUUACAGUAUGUGCAUGUAUCUAUAGACACAUGUUCUGGCAUUCUACAUGCCACCCCACUUAAAUCUUGAUGAAGCUGGACAAACAGCGGCUGAACGACAUUGCUCAGAGCCCAAGAGGACAAAAGAAUUAGUCAAAUGGAAGGAUGUAUUAACAAAUGAAUGGAAAGGCCCGGAUCCUGUUUUAAUAAGAUCCAGGGGAGCUGUCUGUGUUUUUCCACAGGACAAUGAAAAUCCCAUAUGGAUCCCAGGACGACUUACUUGGAGCAUCACAGCAAGUGAUCAAGAAGGGACUGGGACUCCUGCACCUCCUCACUCUUCUUCCAUGGAUGCCAGCAACGGUGCAGGGCGAGCUACGAUGGGGAAUAAUGUCAACCUUUCCACUCCCGAUGCCGGUGAUGUACCACUAACAGGGAUUUAGGGUUGGCCUAUUUACCUAAGGAUCCACAGGUUGAACGACUAAAAGAAAAUAGGACUAUUCCCCUUAAGGGCAGCCUUUGGCAUAUUCAACAAAACAUCUUUUGAUCUCCCUUGCAUUAUGUUAUGUAAUCAAUCUUCUGCUUGGUUAAGGGAGGCCACAUGGGGAACUGGUGAGGAGGACAUUGUGGCUAACGCCACAGUUCUCUAUGGUGGUGGCCUUACAUUGCGUUAAUGGUAGCUGCACUGAUCUUACGCCCAUGGCGAUGCUACUUGGAGGAAAGGGCGAAAAGGGACGGUUGUCAUUUUCCUGGAUGGGGAACAUCAAACCUGCUGCCUCUGUCUGGACAGCUACUCAUAUAAAAUAUCGCAGUAGUUACCCGCAUGCCUCGCUUUAUCCCGAUCCCUGUUGAUACCUCGGGGACCAUGACCUUAUUUAGAGGAAAAAGAGAUUUUGGUACUUCUGCUAUUAUUGCUGGCAUUAUUGCUACGACAGCAGUCGCUGCCUCGGUUACUGCCUCGGCAUUGGCCUUGUCAAAUACAGUACAGACAACCCAAACUAUCAAUGAUUUAUCGGCCACCAUCUCUGUGGCUCGGGACAGACAGGCCUCGGCCAAUACUCAGAUAUAGGGAGGCCUUAUGCUUGUCAACCAAUGUAUAGAUCUGGUCCGAGAGCAAUUAGACAUUCUAUGGCAACUGGCCCAGCUUGGCUGUGAGCAAAAGCUCCCAGGCCUUUGUGUCACCUCCAUAUAAUAUGAAAAAUUUACCCGAGCUGCUAAUCUGUCUAAGAGUCUUUCACAGCAUCUGUUACAGAAUUGGACCUCGGAGUUUGAACAGACACUUCGGGAGCUGAGAGCAACCAUCAUUCAAGUAAAUUCUACCCGACUGGACCUGUCUUUGACGAAGGGAUUGUCGUCCUGGAUCACCUCAGCAGUCUCUUAUUUCAAGGAAUGGGUGGGAGUGGGACUUUUUGGAGUGAUCCUCUGCUGUGGAUUAGUGUUACUCCUCUGGUUGCUUUGCAAAUUGAGAUCUCAAACAAGAAAGGACAAAGUAGUGAUUGCCCAGGCGCUUGUAGCCCUUAAACAAGGAGCGUCAGCCGAUAUCUGGUUGACCAUGCUCAAGCAACAGGUCGCCGGCUGGACAGCUCUUGCACUCCUAGAACCUCGGUUCAUUGCACAGGAUUAGAGUGUCCGGCUUGAGCAGCCCAUGAGGGGUGACGAGCUUAGCAUCACACAGGGAAGUUCUACCAAAUAUGCUCCCUGGAAGGCAUGUCAUAUUACAUGAGGGUUUCUGCCCCAGUUUUCCCUCCCUCGAAAAAUGGCAGUGCGACGGGUCGGGAGUGCCCUGGGUCCCAACAACAGCCUAAGGGUAUCUCUCUUGUACAGGUUCGCCAACUUUGUACGAGGAUAUGACCUCUGUCUUCGCCCUCCUAUAUCUGGGUGUCCUGUUUGCUUAAAAAAAACAGAAAAGGGGGAGAUGUGAGGAGCUGUCCUCACAGAUGUGAGGAGUUGUCCGAGGAGCUGUCCUCACAAACUCCAUUACAAGAUGGCACCGGCAUCCGGCAGAACGCACCUAGUAAAAAGGGCAAUACGCAGGCGCCUGGUAACUUCCCUACUCAAAGGGACACGUACGUUUUGGUACGUCAUCUGGCAUAAUUGGCAGCGACCAGUCAGAGAGUGACACGUCCUAGGCGAGGAUAGUUUCCUAUAUAAGGGACAAUUAUUCCUCACUCUCCGUCUCUGCAUUGUAAGCUUAUGCUCUCCCUCUCAAGACGCAGUAAAGCUUUUCUGUAGUAGGAUCCUGUGUGUGCCGCGUCGUUCCUGCUGGCGAGACAUAGCACGGGACACUUAGGUAUUCCCAGCUUUGGGGCUAAUAUCCUCUUAUCAGUGAAUGCAUACCUAAUGUGUGUUCUUUUGAGACUGGGUUACCUCACUCAGGAUGAUUUUUUUUUCUAGUUCCAUCCAUUUGCCUAAGAGUUCCAUGUAGCCAUUUUUUAAUAGCUGAGUAGUAUUACAUUGUAUAAAUGUACCACCUUUUCUGUAUCCAUUCCUCUGUUGAAGGACAUCUGGGUUCUUUCUAGCUUCUGGCUAUUAUAAAUAAGGCUGCUAUGAACAUAGUAGGGCAUGUGUCCUUGUUAUAUGUUGUAGCAUCUUUUGGGUAUAUGUCCAGGAGUGGUAUAGCUGGGUCCUCCAGUAGUACAAUGUCCAAUUUUCUGAGGAACUGCCAGACUGAUUUUCAGAGUGGUUGUACUAGCUUGGAAUCCCACCAACAAUGGAGGAGUGUUCCUAUUUCUCCACAUCCUCACCAGCAUCUACUGUCACCCUGAGUAUUGAUCUUAGCCAUUGAAGAGGUAUUUCUGGGUUGUUUUGAUUUGCAUUUGCAUUUCCCUGAUAACUAAGGAUGUCGAACAUUUCUUUAGGUGCUUCUUAGCCAUUCGGUAUUCCUUAGUUGAGAAUUUUUUGUUUAGUUCUGUACCACAUUUUUUAAUAGGGUUAUUUGGCUCUUUGGAGUCUAAUUUCUUGAGUUCUUGAAUAUAUAGAUAUUAGUCCUCUAUUGGAUGUAGGAUUGGUAAAGACCUAAUCCUUACCCAAUCUGUUGGUUGUUGUUUUGUCCUAUUGACAGUGUCCUUUGCCUUAAAGAAGCUUUGCAAUUUUAUGAGAUCCCAUUUGUUGAUUCUUGAUCUUAGACCAUAAACUAUUGGUGUUCUGUUCAGGAAAAUUUUCCCUGUGCCUAUGUGUUCAAGGCUCUUCCCCCUUUCUCUUCUGUUAGUUUCAGUGUAUCUGGUUUUAGAUGGAGGUCCUUCUUGCACUUGGACUUGAGCUUUGUACAAGAAGAUAAGAAUGGAUCGAUCUGCAUUCUUCUAUAAGCUGACCUGCAGUUGAACCAGCACCAUUUGUUGAAAAUGCAGUUUUCUUUCCUUGGGAUAGUUUUAGCUCCUCUGUCAAAGAUCGAGUGACCACAGGACACAGAUGCCUUUCCCUCGUGCAGUCAAAGAAAGAGAAGCUCUUUUAUAAGAGCAUGCGAUUCCACACAUGAGAAAAGAGUCCUCAUGACUGAUUCACUCCAAGAAGGUCCUACUUCGCAAUACUGCCAGAGCCUGGCCAUCAUCCAUUCCACUCAGACAGCACAUUGAGAGAGAUAAUAGAUGCUCGAUGUGGCAGAAUGGGUGACCAUCCUGUGGGCCACCUUUGUAUUGAAUUUUACAUCACUGCUAGGCGCAUUAGUAUAUAUGCUGCCUUUGACAUCAACUUGACACAAGCUGCAGUCAUCAGAGAGGAAUGAGGUUCAAUAGAGGACAUGUCUCCAUAAGGCUAACUUAAAACUCACAGUGUUGACCAAGAAGGCUUCAAAUUCAUGAUCUCCUUACCUGGCUACCCGAGUGCUGGGAUCCCAGGCAUGUAUCUGGCUCAGAACACACACUUUUUGAAGCAACUUAAGUGGCUGCACAUGGCCACGUGAAGCUUAUGGUGGUGCUGGUGAAGGUCUUACUAUGUAAAGCACCAUGCAAAGUUGUUGACAGAUCCUGAAAAGGAAUCCAGUUCCCAAGUCUUCCGAGGACCCAGCUAUACCACCCCUGGGCAUAUACCCAAAAGAUGCUCUAACAUAUAACAAAGACACAUGCUCCACUAUGUUCAUAGCAGCCUUAUUUAUAAUAGCCAGAAGCUGGAAAGAACCCAGAUGUCCUUCAACAGAGGAAUGGAUACAGAAAAGGUGGUACAUUUACAGCUAUUAAAAACAAUUACUUCAUGAAAUUCAUAGGCAAAUGGAUGAAACUAGACAAUAUAAUCCUGAGUGAGGUAACCCAAUCACAAAACAGUAGUCAUGGUAUGCACUCACUGAUAAGUGAAUAUUAGCCCAAAACCUCAGAUUACCCAAGAUACAAUCCACAGACCACAUGCAGCUCAAGAAGAAGGACGACCAAAGUGUGAAUGCUUCAGUCGUUCUUAGAAGGGGGAACUAAAAUAUCCAUAGGAGGAAAUACGGAGACAAAGUUUGGAGUAGAGACUGAAGGAAUGGCCAUUCAGAGCCUGCCCCACCUGGGGAUCCAGCCCAUAUACAUACAGUCACCAAACCCAGACAAUAUUGCUGAUGCCAAGACGUGCAUGCUGACAGGAGCCUGAUAUAGCUGUCUCCUGAGAGGCUCUGCCAGAGCAUGACAAACACAGAGGGAAAUGUUCACAGCCAACCAUUGAACUGAGAAUGGGGUCCCCAUUGGAGGAGUUAGAGAAAGGAUUGAAGGAGCUGAUGGGGUUUGUAACACCAUAAGAACAACAAUGCCAACCAACCAGAGCUUCCAGGGACUAAACCACCACCCAAAGACUACACAUGGACAGACCCAUGGCUCCAGCUGCAUAGUAGCAGAGGGUGGCCUUGUUGGGCACCAAAGGAAGGAGAAGCCAAGGCUGGACCUUCCCCCCCUCACCCCCACAGUGUAAGGGAAUGUCAGGGCAGGGAGGCGGGAAGGGGUGAGUGGUUGGGGGAAAGGAGAUAACAUUUGAAAUGUAAAUAAAAAAUCCAGUAAAAUAUAUUAUAAUUUAAAAAAAGAAAUAAUAAUAAAAAAGAUUUUGAUUCGAGGGAGUAAUAUGCUAAUCGUGUUCAUUUUCUUCUCAUUCUUUCAGUAGUGGAGACUCCAGGUUCUAGUUGGAGCUCUAGGUCAGGUAUGCAAUUGAGUUCUCUACAGUGUGAGGUGAGCUGCAAGUUUCUUACUUACAUGUUUUAAAAAGCAGGGGGUGGCUCUAUAUUGCCUUUACAUCUUCUAGGUGGAGUAAAGAUAGAUGUUGUAGAUGAGAACAGUGUUCCUGGAAGUGCUGGGGAACACAUAGAAAAGUACACUUGGGAAAGUAAAUUUGGCUUUAUGUAAGUCGGACUUUUAAGACUGAAAGAGAAAGAAAGGGAGGGAGAUGAGAAGCUAGCAGAAGUCAUUAUCAUGACCAGGAUCACCAUGUUUCUGGGUCACUCGGGGUGCACAGAGCAGUGAAGUUUCUGUUCUGACUGCUCACAACCCCUGUGGGUCUCUGCUAAGGGGACUAUGUUUCACUUUAGAGCGAGAGAUUACACUCUAGGAAUAGUAACUGUGUAACAGUAAACAGCUGUGUCUUAAUUACUGCAAGUCCUUUAAGUUUCCACAUUUGUAACUUUUUCAUUGGGUGAGGGGUGUGUGCAACACAGAAAGUACUGAAAGGGAAGGAAAAUGGAGGAUGGCUUCUUUAACACCGGUUCCCAAGAUAGCGGAUAAAAGCCAACUUCACAUUAUAGUUAUGUUAGUACACUCUGUGCUCUCAGCAUUAGAGCUCAUUUUUAUUUAUUUCUAUUUUUAAAAUUAAUUAAUUAACUUUCAUGUGGAACUUAGAUGCCUCUGCUGGGCCUGGAACGAUGGCCCAGUGAUUAAGAGCACGUGCUGCUCUUCGGGAGAGCCAGGACCCGCAUACCAGGUAGCUCACAAGUGCUUGCAACUUCAGCUCUGGAAGUUAUGAUGCCCCCUUCUGGCCUGUAGAGGUAACUGUACACACGGCAAAGAUGCCCGCACAUGGAUAAAUAACUUAAAAUAUUUUAAAAAAAAGUCUGUGCUGUGGCCAUUAAAACCUAGUACAACAAAGCAAACUAUGGUCAGCAAUAAACAAUGUUGGCGUGCUUUCCCACAUAAAUAGGGAGUAUAUUGGGAAACUGACCUGUGCACGGGGAAUUUAGUAUGUCAGGUAUAGGAGAUCAUAUAAGCCCUGGGGAUAAGAAUAUGGGUAUUUUGCACUGGACAUGAUGGCCCAUGGCCACUAAAGCACCUUCUUUAAAGAGAUGUACCCUUUGCAUUUGCCAGUGCAACGGUGCUGCUUUGCUGGAAGAGAAUGGGGAAGCUGUGGGGACCCCUAGGAAACUCCCCACUGACAUAUUUAGUCUGCGGCCUGUGGGUCUCAGUCAGUCAGUCACCUGGGAAGGAGUUUUGCAUCUGUCAGCCAGGGUAGCCUAAGGGAGCCGGAGCAGGUGUGGCACAGCCCAGACUUCCGGUUUAUGGCCGGAUGCAGGCUUGGUUUGUUGGUCUCACUACCCUGCUUGGUGCAUCUGGGAUGGUAAAUAGUGCAGUGAUUAAUUCAGAAACUGCAAACGGAAAGUGUUAUGAGGUUUGCCUCUGAGCUUUACAUCAACAUGAAAGGUUGAGUUCUCAUUUGCUCCCCGAGGGGAAUGUAAAGGAAUCCUCUGGGUCUCUGCCCAGGUCGAUUUUAUCAUCCUCUACCAAAACGUGUGCAUAAAUACAUUGCCAGGACUUCCGGUAGUGCCGUUGUGGUUUCAACCAUUAUUGUUUUCCCCAGAAAUAUCAGACAAAAUUACUCUUUUCCAUCCAUUUACUCAUUUAUUCACUUUAUAUCACAGCCCCUCCCUCCUCUCCUCCCAGUCGGGACCUCCCACUCCCUUCUCCUAGUACCUGGGUACCAACCCACCCUGGCACAUCGAGUCACACCAGUACUAAGUGCAUUCUCUCCCACAAGGCAGCUCAGCAGGGUAAAGGGAUCCAAAGGCAGGCAACAGAGUCUGAGUCAGAGACAGUCCCUGCUCCAGUUGUUGGGUGACCCACGUGAAGACAAGCUGCACAUCUACUAUGUAUGUGUGUGUCCCCUACCCAGGCCCAGUCCAUGCAUGCUCUUUGGUUGGUGCUUCAGUCUCUGUGGGCCCCCAUGGUUCCAGUUAGUUGGCUCUGUAGGUCUCCUUGUGGUGUCCUUGACCUCUCUGGCUCCCUCAAUCCUUCCCACCCCAAUCCCGAAUCUUCCAGAAGACUCCCUGAGCUCUCUGCCUGAUGUUUGGCUGUAAGUCUCUGCAUCUGUUUCCAUCAGUUGCUGGCUAGAGCCUCUCAGAUGACAAUCGUGGUAAGCUCCUGUCUGCAAGCAUAGCAGAGUAUCAUUAACAAUGUCAGGGGUUGGUUCUCUCCCAUGGGGUGGGUCUCAAGUUGGGGCAGUCAUUUG
Molecule: long non-coding RNA, 12779 nt
Organism: Rattus norvegicus (Norway rat)
Lineage: Eukaryota; Metazoa; Chordata; Mammalia; Rodentia; Muridae
Source: RefSeq, a predicted model, not a curated record